CGAAAGCGACUUCUGCCAGUAUCCAAUAUGGUGGCACGAACAGGAAGUCACGUGAUGCGACACCAAAGAGGGCGUCUUAACAAGAAGUGACUUCUGCCAGCGCCCAAGGCAGCGGACUGCACCGGAAGUCAAGUGACGUCACACAGAAGAUGGCUUACGGCACUGGGCUUAUUUGACCUUCCAAAGAUGGCGGUAUUCUGCGCAUGCGCUUUGGGUAAGGGGCGGGGAUGGCGUCCUAGAAGGAGCGCUCGCCUCUCCAAAAUGUGUGUUCGAUUGCCUGAACCCCACCCCGCGCUUCCACAGCGAUUUUCCACGGCGUUUCCCGGUCCCAGGGCUAAGCUGGAGAAAAGGUGGAGAGUGGCAAGCAGGAGUCCCAUGUUUGGAUCCACCCUUGGAUUCCAGUUCCUCCUGGGGGUUCUGUGCUGCCCAAAGUGUAAAGAAAGGAGUCUGGGUGCUUUGCUCUGCCCCAAAGCAUGUUUUGCUAACAAAAUAGUAACCCUUAAAAGCAACAGUCUAUUGCAUAUUCAUAUAUCUCAUACAUAAUUCAAACAUUCCUUUCAAACUAAGGGUGCUUCUGCUUAAUGUCAGCUUCCCCCCUCACCUUGUAAAUCAGUCAUCUGGGUCCCUCGAAGUCUGGGCUAUCCCGAUAAGGAGGCAAUAAUUCUUCUCUUGGAAUCUUGGUGUCUUGUUACUCUUAUCUCUAUGUGAAAAAUUUUUUUAUUAUCUUACUUUUUGUAACUAGCUCAAUGAAUGGGUAUCUUACAUCAUAUAGUUUCUAUUUUAAUAUUAUGCUAUAGCCUAAAAACUGUAUUUACCGCACUACUUGAAAAAUAUUAAUACAGCAUAACUUUGGAACAUAACAUAUAUAAGUAUUCAUUUUAAUAUUUGCGACGAGCCAAUCAUAUAAUAAGCAUAUUUCACCCCCACCCGCCUUUCCCUUCCGCUCCCGCUUCCCUGCUCACCCCCACUCCCCUCUCUAUCACUCGUCACCCGCCCCACAUCUCCUCUCUCCCCAUCCUUCCCUCUCCCUCCUUCCCGCAGCCGCGGGGCUCGGGGUACUGGAGAACAAAGCCCAGGGAGCCGGAGCCCGGCACCCCCUGCCCUCGCUGGAGUCCCCACACGGGGCCGGACCCGCUCGGGGUCCGCAGUGCUGUUCCCCCAGCGCCGGCACUCGGGCUCCCACACAUCACACGGGGGGCACCGGGAUCCCCCAACCCCGGGACCCCUCCGGAGCGGGGCUGCGGCGGGA
RNAcentral lists this long non-coding RNA (1249 nucleotides) under Zonotrichia albicollis (white-throated sparrow). Its description in RNAcentral is "lncRNA (ENSZALG00000003707.1)". Lineage: Eukaryota; Metazoa; Chordata; Aves; Passeriformes; Passerellidae. The record is from RNAcentral.